AAUGAACGCUAGCGGGAGGCUUAACACAUGCAAGUCGAGGGGCAGCAUAGGGUAGCAAUACUCUGGAUGGCGACCGGCAAACGGGUGAGUAACGCGUAUGUAACCUACCCUGUACAGGGGGAUAACCCGGAGAAAUUCGGACUAAUAUCCCAUAACAAUAUCCGGGGGCAUCUUUGGAUAUUUAAAGUUCCGGCGGUACGGGAUGGGCAUGCGUAACAUUAGCUAGUUGGUAAGGUAACGGCUUACCAAGGCUUUGAUGUUUAGGGGUCCUGAGAGGGUGGUCCCCCACACUGGUACUGAGACACGGACCAGACUCCUACGGGAGGCAGCAGUGAGGAAUAUUGGUCAAUGGGCGCAAGCCUGAACCAGCCAUCCCGCGUGCAGGAAGACGGCGCUAUGCGUUGUAAACUGCUUUUCCAGGGAGAGAAACUUGCGCACGUGUUGCGCAAUUGACGGUACCCUGGGAAUAAGCAUCGGCUAACUCCGUG
This 488-nucleotide ribosomal RNA is filed under the name uncultured bacterium. RNAcentral's name for it is "bacterial SSU rRNA". It matches the Rfam family "Bacterial small subunit ribosomal RNA", at positions 29 to 507 of the family's 1533-position model. The record is from RNAcentral.